ACGGGUAGCUCAGCUGGAUAGAGCGUUGGCCUCCGGAGCCAAAGGUCGUGGGUUCGAAUCCCGUCCCG
Molecule: transfer RNA, 68 nt
Filed under: bovine gut metagenome
Rfam family: tRNA
About the family: Transfer RNA (tRNA) molecules are approximately 80 nucleotides in length. Their secondary structure includes four short double-helical elements and three loops (D, anti-codon, and T loops).
Source: RNAcentral